Molecule: long non-coding RNA, 252 nt
Organism: Cucurbita maxima (winter squash)
Lineage: Eukaryota; Viridiplantae; Streptophyta; Magnoliopsida; Cucurbitales; Cucurbitaceae
Exons: 2
Source: RefSeq, a predicted model, not a curated record
UCUUCUGGAGCAGAUUGCAUUCAAAGUGUUCAGCCUUUUGAGUGAGGGCUGUCAGUAUGGUUCUUCAAUGCAUUCCCUUAUUCUAAUCAAUAGCUUGUUUGUGAUUUACUCUACUUGGAUAUUGGGAAGGCCGAGUAAAGUGAAACUGAUAAAUGUAAGCACUCGUAUCUCGAUCAGGUAUAUAGAUGAGUGAUGCAAUGUAUAUUGUAUAUUAAAGUCUACGUUCUUAGUUAAGAUGUUCUCAUCUUUAAA